UACGUAGGGUGCAAGCGUUGUCCGGAAUUAUUGGGCGUAAAGAGCUUGUAGGCGGUUUGUCGCGUCUGCUGUGAAAUUUCGGGGCUCAACCCCGAACUUGCAGUGGGUACGGGCAGACUAGAGUGUGGUAGGGGAGACUGGAAUUCCUGGUGUAGCGGUGAAAUGCGCAGAUAUCGAGAGGAACACCUAUGGCGAAGGCAGCUCGCUGGGACGCUACUGACGCUGAGACGCGAAAGCGUGGGGAGCAAACAGG
This 253-nucleotide ribosomal RNA is filed under the name uncultured bacterium. RNAcentral describes it as "partial 16S ribosomal RNA". It matches the Rfam family "Bacterial small subunit ribosomal RNA", at positions 524 to 776 of the family's 1533-position model. The record is from RNAcentral.